This 492-nucleotide ribosomal RNA is filed under the name uncultured bacterium. Its description in RNAcentral is "partial 16S ribosomal RNA". It matches the Rfam family "Bacterial small subunit ribosomal RNA", at positions 29 to 507 of the family's 1533-position model. The record is from RNAcentral.
AGUGAACGCUGGCGGUAGGCCUAACACAUGCAAGUCGAACGGCAGCACCGUAAGAGCUUGCUCUUACGGGAGGAGCGUGUGGGACGGGUGCGGUAUACAUCGGACUCUCCUUUUAAGCGGGGGAUAACGUCGGGAAUCUUGCGCUAAUACAGCAUACGACCUACGGGUUAAAGCAGGGGAUCUUUGGCCCUUUCGUGAUUGAAUGACCCGAUAUCGGAUUAGUUAGUUGGCGGGGUAAGGGCACACCCAGGCACCGGUCCGUAGCUGGCCUGAGAGGAUGAUCAGCCAGACUGGAACGGAGACACGGUCCAGACUCCUACGGGAGGCGGCAGUGGGGAAUAUUGGAGGAAGGGCGGAAGCAUGAUCCAGCCAGACCGAGUGGGUGAAGAAGGCCUUCGGGUUGUAAAACGCUGUUGUUUGGGAAGAAAAGCAGCAGGUUAAGACCCCGCCGUUCUGACGGUACCCAAAGAAUAAGCACCGGCUAACUUCGUG